RNAcentral lists this ribosomal RNA (920 nucleotides) under uncultured bacterium. RNAcentral describes it as "bacterial SSU rRNA". It matches the Rfam family "Bacterial small subunit ribosomal RNA", at positions 33 to 944 of the family's 1533-position model. The record is from RNAcentral.
ACGCUAGCUACAGGCUUAACACAUACAAGUCGAGGGGAAACGGCAUUAAGUGCUUGCACUUUUUGGACGUCGACCGGCGCACGGGUGAGUAACGCGUAUCCAACCUUCCCAUGACUAAGGGAUAACCUGCCGAAAGGCAGACUAAUACCUUAUGGUCUUCACUGACGGCAUCAGAUGUGAAGUAAAGAUUUAUCGGUUAUGGAUGGGGAUGCGUCUGAUUAGUUAGUUGGCGGGGUAACGGCCCACCAAGGCAACGAUCAGUAGGGGUUCUGAGAGGAAGGUCCCCCACAUUGGAACUGAGACACGGUCCAAGCUCCUACGGGAGGCAGCAGUGAGGAAUAUUGGUCAAUGGGCGAGAGCCUGAACCAGCCAAGUAGCGUGCAGGACGACGGCCCUAUGGGUUGUAAACUGCUUUUGUAUGGGGAUAGAGUCAAUCACGUGUGAUUGUUUGCAGGUACCAUACGAAUAAGGACCGGCUAAUUCCGUGCCAGCAGCCGCGGUAAUACGGAAGGUCCGGGCGUUAUCCGGAUUUAUUGGGUUUAAAGGGAGCGUAGGCUGGAGAUUAAGUGUGUUGUGAAAUGUAGACGCUCAACGUCUGACUUGCAGCGCAUACUGGUUUCCUUGAGUACGCACAACGUUGGCGGAAUUCGUCGUGUAGCGGUGAAAUGCUUAGAUAUGACGAAGAACUCCGAUUGCGAAGGCAGCUGACGGGAGCGCAACUGACGCUGAAGCUCGAAGGUGCGGGUAUCGAACAGGAUUAGAUACCCUGGUAGUCCGCACAGUAAACGAUGGAUGCCCGCUGUUGGUACCUGGUAUCAGCGGCUAAGCGAAAGCAUUAAGCAUCCCACCUGGGGAGUACGCCGGCAACGGUGAAACUCAAAGGAAUUGACGGGGGCCCGCACAAGCGGAGGAACAUGUGG